This 253-nucleotide long non-coding RNA is filed under the name Mytilus galloprovincialis (Mediterranean mussel). Lineage: Eukaryota; Metazoa; Mollusca; Bivalvia; Mytilida; Mytilidae. The record is from RNAcentral.
UCAAGUCCACAUCUCAGAUACUAUAAGCAAUAGGUCUAGUAUAUUCGGUGUAUGGAAGCACUGUAAGGUGUACAUGUCCAACUGGCAGGUGUCAUCUGACCUUGACCUCAUUUUCAUGGUUCAGUGGUCAAAGUUAAGUUUUUGAGUUUUGGUCUUUUUUUUUCUAAUACUAUAUGCAAUAGGUCAACUAUAUUUGGUGUAUGGAAAUAUUUUAUGAUCUAUAUAUCAGUUGCGCAGGUUUUAUUUGACCUUG